RNAcentral lists this transfer RNA (78 nucleotides) under Streptomyces sulfonofaciens. RNAcentral describes it as "tRNA-Gly". The record is from RNAcentral. Lineage: Bacteria; Bacillati; Actinomycetota; Actinomycetes; Kitasatosporales; Streptomycetaceae.
GGCGGGGUCGACGGCGGCGGCGCCGGGGCGGGUGCCCGCCGCCGCUCACCCGGACGGUUCGGCGCCCUCCGCCACCUC